UACGUAGGUGGCAAGCGUUGUCCGGAGUUAUUGGGCGUAAAGCGCGCGCAGGCGGUGCGGUAAGUCUCUGGUGAAAGCGCUCGGCUUAACUGGGCGAGGGCCGGGGAGACUGCCACGCUGGAGGGGAGCAGAGGCGAGUGGAAUUCCGGGUGUAGUGGUGAAAUGCGUAGAGAUCCGGAGGAACACCAGUGGCGAAGGCGGCUCGCUGGGCUCUACCUGACGCUGAGGCGCGAAAGCGUGGGGAGC
This 246-nucleotide ribosomal RNA is filed under the name uncultured bacterium. RNAcentral's name for it is "partial 16S ribosomal RNA". It matches the Rfam family "Bacterial small subunit ribosomal RNA", at positions 524 to 769 of the family's 1533-position model. The record is from RNAcentral.